This 375-nucleotide ribosomal RNA is filed under the name Anaplasma platys. RNAcentral describes it as "bacterial SSU rRNA". It matches the Rfam family "Bacterial small subunit ribosomal RNA", at positions 97 to 506 of the family's 1533-position model. Lineage: Bacteria; Pseudomonadati; Pseudomonadota; Alphaproteobacteria; Rickettsiales; Anaplasmataceae. The record is from RNAcentral.
AGACGACGGGUGAGUAUGCAUAGGAAUCUACCUAGUAGUAUGGGAUAGCCACUAGAAAUGGUGGGUAAUACUGUAUAAUCCCUGCGGGGGAAAGAUUUAUCGCUAUUAGAUGAGCCUAUGUUAGAUUAGCUAGUUGGUAGGGUAAAGGCCUACCAAGGCAGUGAUCUAUAGCUGGUCUGAGAGGAUGAUCAGCCACACUGGAACUGAGAUACGGUCCAGACUCCUACGGGAGGCAGCAGUGGGGAAUAUUGGACAAUGGGCGCAAGCCUGAUCCAGCUAUGCCGCGUGAGUGAGGAAGGCCUUAGGGUUGUAAAACUCUUUCAGUGGGGAAGAUAAUGACGGUACCCACAGAAGAAGUCCGGGGCCAAACUCCAA